Molecule: long non-coding RNA, 275 nt
Organism: Cygnus atratus (black swan)
Lineage: Eukaryota; Metazoa; Chordata; Aves; Anseriformes; Anatidae
Exons: 3
Source: RefSeq, a predicted model, not a curated record
AGCUGAAUGCUCUAAGAAGUGCAAUAAUGUAAGAAUUUCACCAUUUUAUAAGUGUGAGUUUAACCUGCCAUAAGGACUGUACUAAGAUCAAAAGUGAAAUAAUGAAUGAAUCACAGAAUCACAGAAUCACAGAACUGUAGCGGUUGGAAGGGACCUCAAAAGAUCAUUGGGUUCAACCCCCCUGCCAAAGCAGGUUCCUUAGAGCAGGCUGCCCAGGAAAGAUGCUCCAGGCCCCAUAUCAUCUUUGUGGCCCUCCGCUGGACUGUUUCCAUGAG